CCCUUAGAUGUCCUGGGCCGCACGCGUGCUACACUGAUGCAUACAGCGAGUACUUUCCAGCUCCGCGAGGCAGCUGGUAAUCAGCAAUAUGCAUCGUGCUGGGGAUAGAUCUUUGGAAUUAUAGAUCUUGAACGAGGAAUUCCUAGUAAGCGCAAGUCAUUAGCUUGCGCUGAUUAAGUCCCUGCCCUUUGUACACACCGCCCGUCGCUCCUACCGAUUUCGAGUGAUUCGGUGAACCUUUUGGACAGCGUCUGUCCUCGUGUCAGAUACUGAAAGUCAAGUAAACCAUAUCACUUAGAGGAAGGAGAAGUCGUAACA
This 318-nucleotide ribosomal RNA is filed under the name uncultured eukaryote. RNAcentral describes it as "partial 18S ribosomal RNA". It matches the Rfam family "Eukaryotic small subunit ribosomal RNA", at positions 1470 to 1796 of the family's 1831-position model. The record is from RNAcentral.